CCCUUAGAUGUUCUGGGCCGCACGCGCGCUACACUGAUGAACGCAACGAGACCACCUGUACCGAAAGGCAUGGGUAAACUUGUGAAAGUUCAUCGUGAUGGGGAUAGAUUAUUGCAACUAUUAAUCUUCAACGAGGAAUGCCUAGUAAGCGCGAAUCAUCAGUUCGCGUUGAUUACGUCCCUGCCCUUUGUACACACCGCCCGUCGCUCCUACCGAUUGAAUGGUCCGGUGAAAAUUUCGGAUACCGGCGUUGCUGGCGGUUCGCCGCCGGCGACGCUGGUAGAAGAUCUUUAAACCUUAUCAUUUAGAGGAAGGAGAAGUCGUAACA
Molecule: ribosomal RNA, 328 nt
Filed under: uncultured eukaryote
Lineage: Eukaryota
Description: partial 18S ribosomal RNA
Rfam family: Eukaryotic small subunit ribosomal RNA
Source: RNAcentral